UAUCCAUUCCCUCAGAUUUUUUUUUCAUCCAUUGCAAUUAUAUAUUUUUUUAUCAGUUCCCUCAUAUUUUGUAUUAAUUCCCUCAGGUUUUUAAUUCCCUCAAUUUUAAUAAUCCUCGGAAUAUGCGUGUUUUUCCAUUCAUUGUGUCUGCACCCCUUUGCCAGAAAUKAUGCUGCUGAUGGAACCAUAGUCUGAGAUCAAUUAAAACAGAUUGACUGCAGUGCCGUCGAGGGCAUAACGGAUGCUCAACUCACACAAUACGUGCCCAGAUUUGGUGAUCUUAAGGCAGUACUGCAAAAGAGAAGUGGCCGCUCUGCAAAAGAGAAGUGGCCGCUCUCCAGGGAUCAAGUGUAUCCAAAGCUGCAGAGAGGGAUAUAGAACAUUUUAAACACUGAAAGAAAAGUAAUGAGAAGUCAGCAAAACUUUGGAAAUGCCAACGAUUAGAAAACAGAAUGUACUUUCCAAAUUGUAUGGCUGGAACAAGUUGGUGUCAACUCAUUCUGCCAAGUCACAGAUAAAGAAAGGUGGUGAGACAAGACAAUUAAAGGCAGCAAAGAUGGUUACAAUGGCAGAGCUGUUGGAGGUGCAGAUGUCCUUGUGUCUUUAUACAGGUGCAGAUGUCCUUGUGUCUUCAGCCAUUCACGUCUACUUUGUUGAGCCCAAGAGUGACUUUGUGAGAAGCCCCAAUCACACACCUGCGGAUGUGUUUUGGAGAUCCCCCAACACCUACACAUCAUACCUUGAGAUGCCAGAGGAAUUCACCCAGGUCCUGGAUUCCAAAGUGUGGGUGAUGGACAUCAUUUAAAUCCGCGGUUCCUCAGUGCGCAUUCGCCCCACUCAGGAGUAGCCUACUCUGUAAAAACUCCAUGUGUUUGAGU
Molecule: non-coding RNA, 878 nt
Organism: Salvelinus sp. IW2-2015
Lineage: Eukaryota; Metazoa; Chordata; Actinopteri; Salmoniformes; Salmonidae
Source: RefSeq, a predicted model, not a curated record